UACAGAGGGUGCGAACGUUGCUCGGAAUUACUGGGCGUAAAGCGCAUGUAGGCGGAUCCAUAAGUCGGGCGUGAAAUCCCCAGGCUCAACCUGGGAACUGCGUUCGAAACUGUGGGUCUAGAGUGUCGGAGAGGAUGGCGGAAUUCCUGGUGUAGAGGUGAAAUUCGUAAAUAUCAGGAAGAACACCGGUGGCGAAGGCGGCCAUCUGGACGACAACUGACGCUGAGAUGCGAAAGCGUGGGGAGCAAACAGG
RNAcentral lists this ribosomal RNA (253 nucleotides) under uncultured bacterium. RNAcentral describes it as "partial 16S ribosomal RNA". It matches the Rfam family "Bacterial small subunit ribosomal RNA", at positions 524 to 776 of the family's 1533-position model. The record is from RNAcentral.